Molecule: non-coding RNA, 692 nt
Organism: Esox lucius (northern pike)
Lineage: Eukaryota; Metazoa; Chordata; Actinopteri; Esociformes; Esocidae
Source: the annotation of a RefSeq genome assembly
GUUUUCAUUGUUCAUCUUUUGGAGGAGACUCACCAUGAUCAGACCUGUCUUCAUUAUCACUGUACCACUAUUCUGGAUCACAGGUGUGUCUCUCAGUAAUGAAGUGUACCAGUCUCCUUCUAAGAUCCUGGUAAAGCCUGAUGGUUUUUCCACACUCAACUGCAGUCACAAAAUAUCCAACUAUGACACCAUCCUCUGGUACCAUCGUUCAGUGGGAGACACAGCUCUCAAACUCAUUGGAUACUCUUUUUAUAAAGACCCUAAAGUUGAACCCUCAUAUCAAAUAUAUUUUAACAUGUCAGGCGAUGGAAGGAGUGAGGCCUUCCUUCAUCUUUUCAACCUGAGACUGACAGAAGACAGUGGGGAGUAUUUCUGUGCUGCUAGUCAACACAGUGGUUCACAGUCCCAGUCUACUGUACAAAAACCCUAUCAGAUCCAGCACACUCUGUUCCGUGUGAGGGAAGGUAAAAAGAGAUUGAGACAAAAAGAGGUUGUGCGGAGUGUACAUGUCUCGUAAAUCAAAGUCACUGUGAUGAUGUCAUAUCCUCUGUCUACAUCUACACGUGUCUCCUUUCUGUCUCAGUGUACCUGACCCAAUGAUCCUCACUGUCUGUUUCAUUUCAUUGUCUUGUGCUAAGGCACACUGUUUCACUAGCAAUUGUGUCAAAUUUGGGUACAUGAAAAACCUGUUC